ACUCCUACGGGAGGCAGCAGUGGGGAAUCUUGGACAAUGGGCGCAAGCCUGAUCCAGCCAUGCCGCGUGAGUGAUGAAGGCCUUAGGGUCGUAAAGCUCUUUCGCCAGGGAUGAUAAUGACAGUACCUGGUAAAGAAACCCCGGCUAACUCCGUGCCAGCAGCCGCGGUAAUACGGAGGGGUUAGCGUUGUUCGGAAUUACUGGGCGUAAAGCGCGCGUAGGCGGGUUGUUAAGUUAGAGGUGAAAUCCCGGGGCUCAACCCCGGAACUGCCUUUAAUACUGGCAACCUAGAGUUCGAGAGAGGUGAGUGGAAUUCCGAGUGUAGAGGUGAAAUUCGUAGAUAUUCGGAGGAACACCAGUGGCGAAGGCGGCUCACUGGCUCGAUACUGACGCUGAGGUGCGAAAGUGUGGGGAGCAAACAGGAUUAGAUACCCUGGUAGCGACUGA
This 447-nucleotide ribosomal RNA is filed under the name uncultured bacterium. RNAcentral's name for it is "bacterial SSU rRNA". It matches the Rfam family "Bacterial small subunit ribosomal RNA", at positions 335 to 799 of the family's 1533-position model. The record is from RNAcentral.